Molecule: ribosomal RNA, 492 nt
Filed under: uncultured bacterium
Lineage: Bacteria
Description: partial 16S ribosomal RNA
Rfam family: Bacterial small subunit ribosomal RNA
Source: RNAcentral
AGUGAACGCUGGCGGUAGGCCUAACACAUGCAAGUCGAACGGCAGCACAGUAAGAGCUUGCUCUUACGGGUGGCGAGUGGCGGACGGGUGAGGAAUACAUCGGAAUCUACUUUUUCGUGGGGGAUAACGUAGGGAAACUUACGCUAAUACCGCAUACGACCUACGGGUGAAAGCAGGGGAUCUUCGGACCUUGCGCGAUUGAAUGAGCCGAGGUCGGAUUAGCUAGUUGGCGGGGUAAAGGCCCACCAAGGCGACGAUCCGUAGCUGGUCUGAGAGGAUGAUCAGCCACACUGGAACUGAGACACGGUCCAGACUCCUACGGGAGGCAGCAGUGGGGAAUAUUGGACAAUGGGCGCAAGCCUGAUCCAGCCAUACCGCGUGGGUGAAGAAGGCCUUCGGGUUGUAAAGCCCUUUUGUUGGGAAAGAAAAGCAGCAGGUUAAUACCCUGCUGUUCUGACGGUACCCAAAGAAUAAGCACCGGCUAACUUCGUG